Long non-coding RNA from Gallus gallus (chicken), 3806 nucleotides. NCBI's taxonomy places the organism in Eukaryota, Metazoa, Chordata, Aves, Galliformes, Phasianidae. The record is from Ensembl.
CCUCAUUUAAGGGUUGGCAGUGGAAACAGGAAUCUUGCUGGAGUUCCAUGUGUACCUGAGGCCUUCUAAAGGCAUAACAACCAGUGAGUGAUACUUCAGAUUUAUGAGUCAUGUGCAUGCAGAAGUGAUGUUCAUCCUGAUGUCCAGACUAAGUUGAAAGUAUGAACAGUGAAAAUGUAGGAACACCAGCAACAACAGCUGUAGUCUGCUAAUCCACUGAUAAAAUCAUAAAGUAUCCAGAAUUCAAAGAGACACACAAGAAUCAUAAAGUCCAACUUGUGGCGUCACACAGGACUACCCAAAAAUCAAACCAUAUUUCUGAGAGCAUUGUUCAAAUCCUUCUUGCAAUCACCCAUUCAGUUAGGAGCCUUUUUGCUAAUGUCCAGUCCUGUAAUGCUGAAGGGAAAAUGAAAGCUUCUGAUAUGUAAUGCACUAUGGUAUAUCUGAUAUUUCCAUAUGUUCUUUUUCCAUUGAAAUAUAAGGUUAGAAUCAGUAUCUGUGAACUGUUCUAAAUGAAGCAACAUAUUAGUUGCCUGACUCAGCUUGAGUGAGAUGUUACAGGCUUUAUGCAAACCUUCUGACCAGCUUUGCAGGCACUUGCCAGUUUAUUUUGACCUCUCUCUAUCAUGGAUAUAAUUUGUUGAAAUCCCAAUCAAACAAGGUGUUGAGACUAUAUUCUCAAAUGCGUUCAGUGCUUCAAUCACUGGAAGAUAAUCUCUUCAGUACUUCCAAGUCUGGACCACAGUGUCUGCAAAUGCCUUAAGUGGGAUUAGAAUGAGUAUCAGUACCAAAGAAAGACUGAAUUAAGAGUUUUCUUCUAAUAUUUUAUGGAAGUCCCUGGAAACAGAAUUAAUUAAAAUUUGUGCCUCUCUAUGGACCUUUUUAACUGGAGUUGAAACAGAAAUAACUGCAGUGUAUUGUGUUCUGACAUUCUCUGGUAUAUGCUUCUGGUCAUAUCAGUGUGUGUAACUGAACAAAUCUUAGGGGUAUAUAGUGUCAAAAGUCAGACAGGGAACCAUAACCAGCAGCCCUUGCUGUAAUGGAGGAAAGAAUCUGCUCACGACAGUUUCAUGUCUCCUGCAAAAGGCUUAGAAGUGUGUAGGAUAAAUUCUUUGAGCAUCACAGUGGAUUUAUGCUUCUGAUUGGUUUUCUUGCUAUAUUUUUUUUUUAGUACUGAGUCUCUCUUCCAUUCUGAACCUCUACUGAACUUUAUGACAAAUAAGAUAUAACACAUAGUGUCAUGGGAAAAAUUGUGCAGCCAAGGUAUUUUUUGGUAUGUUCUUCAUGAACUGAUUACAAUUUCUAUAAUUUGCCGGAUGCCAUAACUGUUCAUACUCCUUCCCAACUCCUGACAGUACUAAUGAGGUACUUGGAAGAGAGGUGCUGCUUCACUCUGUGGAGCCAAGACCCCAGCCAUCUAACUGGGAGAUGGAAAACUGCAAACUGUGAGUCUGCAGGAAGGGGGAAAGAUGGAGAUGUCAGUAAUCAGAGAUAGUUUAUGUUGGUAAUAUAUAGAAACCUUUUAAUUUCAUUGUAGGUUAUGAAAUGUCUACAAUGAAUAUGUAUAGUCAUUUUUUAGGUAUGUGUUGAAUCGUGAAAAAGAUGGUUAACGUACUAUUUCUGAAAAUAAAAAGUCAUAUAUCACCUUAAGUCAUAUAUGAGAACAUCUCAGAUUAGGGCAGUGUUACUUUCCAGUUUCAUCAGGUUAUGUAACUCAACUUUCAGCAGCCAUCAGUUGUGUGUUGAGUUGUGAACAUUAAGUAAUAAUAGGUACUCUUCUAGAAGACUGUAAUUUUUUUUUGCCUCUCGAGGGAGUGUUUAUAGAUCAACACAUCACUACCCAAAAUCAUGAUAGCUUAAAGAAUGAACUGUUAUGAGGACUUUAUGACGAAGUCCCAGGAAGAGCUUAACUGCUAGAAGAACUGAGCUUGGAGAAGCAAAGCUUUGCAAUACUUUAAAUACUGAUCAUAACUCUACAACAUAACAAACCAUUUAUGAUGAGCCUCACCAGUUACUCAGCUUCAAAAAGCAAAACAUUAGAGAUUUCUCAAAGAUGUAAAGAGUGACUCUGUGAGAUGCCUUCAUCUGUGUCCUCUGCCUCUGAAUGUCUCUGCAGUGCCAGCUUAACAACAUGUGUCCAUGCUUUUGGCUGAUGGGCAAAUGACAAAAAGCUUUGACUUCAUCCAGAGACAUUUUAACUUUUUCUGAAUGUGGUCUAUUAAGAGGAUUUUGCUUAAAGUGGAGAACUGCACCAAUGUUUGUGUAACUGCUCUGAAGUCUUGCUUGCUGCCAACCUAUAGGAAACCAAGCUUCCUACUGGGUGUGGGUUUUCCUCUCCAUUUAUCCUAUGGAGCUUAACUUGAGGACUACAAUUGGUCAUGAGUCUUUUCUUACCUUUCUGUUCAAUUCUGUUAACUUAUCCCCUUUGGAUUUUGGUCAUGUGUUGCUGUAUAUGAUUUUCGUUUUAUCAAAUGUUUCCCUGACUGCAUUCAUUCUUGUCUUCAUUCUGUGUCCCUUUUGGUUUAUAAACAGUUUUUCAAAAGAAAAAAUGAUGAAUGUAUAAUGGUAAAAUGCUCCAGAAUUGAGACAACCUCUUUUCAUUGUGGUGUCUUCAUACCUGAAAUUUAUGAUCACUUUUAUGUGCCUGUUUUACUACAAUCAUGAGUAGUAAUGGUCCAAACUUAGUCCUGAACAAUUGUUUUCAUCAAUCUGACUGCUAAUAAAGCCUGCAAUUACUGUGUCUCUAAAAUCAGUACCUGAUAUUAUGAAAUAAUGCAUUAAAUGUGAAACAGCUCAAACUUAAUAACAAUUAGAUUUAUUUGUAUCUGGACUUGUUUCAAUUUAGUAAUCUCAACUUGUGGUCAUUAGGAACACCUUCAGUGUCAAGUGUGGUAUUUCCAUUUACUGUAUCUAAAAAAUAUAUUAGCAGUUGUGUAUGUAUAUGGAAAACAUGUAACAUCUUAAUCUAAUGGAAGAUGUACUGUAAUGUAACAGAACAUUAUUAGUGAAUCCAAUUGGUUGCUGCAUGGAUUUCCACUUCCAGCCUUUGGGUUAAGGGCUCCUUCUUCCUGUGCUGGUUGGGUGGUGGGGCUCAGUUGGAGACCUUGGGCUUUAUAUGAGUGUGAAUGAUAUGUACAUCUUCCAAUUUGUAUUUUCCUCUAUGGAAGAGGAAAAUCUUUUAGCACAAGAGAGGAGCACAUUAGACAACUCAGCAAUGUUAGAUAAAUGAGUGGUACAGUCUUUGUGUAUGUAUUCUGUGCUGCUUUUCCACCUGGAAAAUAAUAUAGUAGAAUUGAAGUGUAUCUGUGUAUGUAAAAAAAAAAAUAAUCAAUGAAAAUAGCCAGUUUAGGACUGAUUACUUUUAAGAAGAGGGGAAAGAAAUAAUAAAAUGACAAAUGACGUGAUGAAAGAAAGUAGGAGCUUCAUUUCUUCUGCUCUCACAAUGUGCAAAAUAUUGAAAGUCUAUUACAUGAAAAGCAGGAUAUUCCAGCACGAUAAAAGCAUAAGCAUUUCCAUACAGUAUGCAACUAGAGUGGAGAACCAUUAGCACAGGAAAUUAAGGCCAAAGCCCCUGUUGAAGCAAUCAGAACAGGUACAUAGCCAUCAGGAGAAUGAUGAUAACAUUUUAGAGAAGGAUAUUAAUUUUAUUCUAGCAGAACACUAGACAUCAGUGGUAUCUAAUAAGAUUUCCACGCUAUUCCUGUUGCAAAUUUAUCUUUGCUUACGCAGUCUGAUCCCUCCAGAAUCUGAAGUUCCAUGUUGUGAAGGUAUUCUGUAAUAGGUUAUUUGGGAAUUACUGCUCAUGU